RNAcentral lists this ribosomal RNA (497 nucleotides) under uncultured bacterium. RNAcentral's name for it is "partial 16S ribosomal RNA". It matches the Rfam family "Bacterial small subunit ribosomal RNA", at positions 28 to 507 of the family's 1533-position model. The record is from RNAcentral.
GAUGAACGCUGGCGGCGUGCCUAAUACAUGCAAGUCGAGCGAACAGACGAGGAGCUUGCUCCUCUGACGUUAGCGGCGGACGGGUGAUUAACACGUGGAUAACCUACCUAUAAGACUGGGAUAACUUCGGGAAACCGGAGCUAAUACUGGAUAAUAUAUUGAACCGCAUGGUUCAUGAGUAAAAGACGGUUUUGCUGUCACUUAUAGAUGGAUCCGAGCCGCAUUAGCUAGUUGGUAAGGUAACGGGCUACCAAGGCAAGGAUGCGUAGCCGACCUGAGAGGGUGAUCGGCCACCCUGGAACGUAGACACCGUCCAGGCUCCUACGGGAGGCAGCAGUAGGGAAUCGUCCGCAGUGGGCGAAAGCUUGACGGAGCAGCGCCGCGCCAGUGGUGAAGGUCUUCCGAUCGUAAAGCUCUCUUAUGAGUGAAGAACAAAUGUGUAAGUAACUAUGCACGUCUUGACGGUACCUAAUCAGAAAGCCACGGCUAACUACGUG